Molecule: non-coding RNA, 937 nt
Organism: Bactrocera oleae (olive fruit fly)
Lineage: Eukaryota; Metazoa; Arthropoda; Insecta; Diptera; Tephritidae
Source: RefSeq, a predicted model, not a curated record
CAUAGCCGGCCUUAUUGCGCCAAUGACGGGACGAAACAGGUUUCGAACUGGUUAGUCGUUUACACAAAUCAGUUACUUGACAUGCUCCAACAGAAGGUAGUCGAAUGGAGUCAAUCACUUGAUGGACGUGAUAUGAACUUUUAGUAUUGGACGUUCGGUAUUGGCAAGGGGAACCAAAAAGUUUUAGAAAAGUAUUGAACAAUAAUGAUUCUUCGCAUGUAAAGUACAACAGUCAGGGAGUAUUUCUCGCUGCUGGAUUGCUUGCACUUCAAACCGACAAUUUCGCAACUGUCCGCCGAAGAAGAUUUGCUGAACCCCUAAAAAGGCACCAUUUGCUUUUACAUAUAUAUAUAUACCUAUAUCGGUGUAAAUGAGUAUGUUCAUGCAAUCGCCACGCUACUUGUAAUGGCUGUUCAAAAGAUGCCAGAGCGAAGUGCACCGUUACGCUGUAAUUCGCAGUCCUCCUCAAUGCAAUUAAAAACAAAAUUAUACCAACAAUCAUGAUUACGUAUUUAUGUCGGAGUCGGGAAUACUUUUACUCUAUUUAUUUUUAUUUUUUAAGUGACAUUUAAAUCGGUUAAAAUGUAUCAAAACAACUUCGAUUCCUCCUCGUUUGCUGUUUCCGAUUUCAUUUAAAUGAUGUUCUUGUUAUUGUUGUGCUUCUGUGCUGAAUGCAACUGCAGAGCUUAACCACUCAAAGGACAAUUACUGCAGCGAGGCAAUAAUUUGUUUUCGAUCCAUGUUGUGACAUAAUUGCGUGACAGUGCGGUAACCUGGAUGGGAGAACGAGUGUGAGGAAAUGUGCAAAUCACUGAGUGUUCUCUGGUAACUAUGGGCGGAAUGCUGUAUGUAUUGUAUAUAUGAGGAAGACUAUUAAUAAUAUCUUUCGGUGUAAUGCAUCCUUUGGGCGUUCUUUUCGAUAUCUCUGUAAUCAAAG